AGCGCUUGUGACCAGACUUGCGUCCGGUGAAUCACCCAGCUCUCGCGGCUGGGGCACUUCGCCGGCACAGGCCAGCAUCAGCUUGCCGUCGGGGACAAAAGCCUCAGGAACGUGGCUCCUCUCGGGGAGUGUUAUAGCCUGUUGCAUAAUACCCUUCGGCGGGCUGAGGUACGCGCUCCGCAAGGAUGCUGGCGUAAUGGUCAUCAGCGACCCGUCUUGAAACACGGACCA
Molecule: ribosomal RNA, 231 nt
Filed under: Colletotrichum caudatum
Lineage: Eukaryota; Fungi; Ascomycota; Sordariomycetes; Glomerellales; Glomerellaceae
Description: partial 28S large subunit ribosomal RNA
Source: RNAcentral